AUUGAACGCUGGCGGCAUGCUUUACACAUGCAAGUCGAACGGCAGCGGGGAGGAGCUUGCUUCUCUGCCGACGAGUGGCGAACGGGUGAGUAAUACAUCGGAACGUGUCGAGAAGAGGGGGAUAACCACCCGAAAGGGUGGCUAAUACCGCAUAAAUUCUGAGGAAGAAAGCUGGGGACCUAGGAAUAGGCCUAGCGCUUUUUGAGCGGCCGAUGUCGGAUUAGCUAGUUGGUGAGGUAAAGGCUCACCAAGGCGAAGAUCUGUAGCGGGUCUGAGAGGAUGAUCCGCCACACUGGGACUGAGACACGGCCCAGACUCCUACGGGAGGCAGCAGUGGGGAAUUUUGGACAAUGGGGGCAACCCUGAUCCAGCCAUGCCGCGUGUAUGAAGAAGGCCUUAGGGUUGUAAAGUACUUUUGUUAGAGAAGAAAAGUCAGCUGUGAAUAAUGGCUGAUACUGACGGUACCUAAAGAAUAAGCACCGGCUAACUACGUG
This 494-nucleotide ribosomal RNA is filed under the name uncultured bacterium. RNAcentral describes it as "partial 16S ribosomal RNA". It matches the Rfam family "Bacterial small subunit ribosomal RNA", at positions 30 to 507 of the family's 1533-position model. The record is from RNAcentral.